Molecule: long non-coding RNA, 633 nt
Filed under: Equus caballus (horse)
Lineage: Eukaryota; Metazoa; Chordata; Mammalia; Perissodactyla; Equidae
Description: lncRNA (ENSECAG00000054902.1)
Source: RNAcentral
GUAAUCACAAGCCCUUAAAAGGAGGGAGAGGGAGGCAGAAGAGGCUGAGUCGGAAGGAGAUGGGAGUACAGGGUAAUGUUCAGAGAGAUGCAAUAUUGCUGGUUUUGAAGGUGGAGGAAGGGGGCCAGAGUUAAAGAAUGUGGGUGGCCUCUAGAGGCUGGAAAAAGCAAAGAAAUGGAUUCUUCUCCGGAAAAGAAUGGAACCCUGCUGACACUUUAAUUAUAGCCCAGUGAGACCAAUGUUGGACUUCUGACCUACAGAACUAGCCUCCACACUACAAGCACCUACAGCUCUGUCUGGACUUUCCCUCUGGCUGUAGGAACACAUCCAAUCUGCAUGCACAGCAGGCUGGAAGUUUCUGAGAGUCAGUGCACCUCAGACAGUUGUGAAUGGGAGUUGGAGCGUAAAUCUCCUGGUUUCUUACCUUUCAAAUGCUACAACUUUGAGAUUGAGCGUGCGGCGUGUGAGGCUGCCAAAGCUUGGGCCACUUCUCAGAGCGAAUGUCCCAAGUUACAGUAUAGGAUCCUCCGUGUCAGCUCACACAGGACCCUCUGGAAGGUUUUUAAGAGCCUUUCUCCUCCAUGACAGAGUGGUGCUUUGGUUUAGAGAGCGUCUUUUCUUUCAAACACAUUU